This 651-nucleotide ribosomal RNA is filed under the name Radulodon casearius. Its description in RNAcentral is "eukaryotic LSU rRNA". The stretch from base 223 to 376 matches the Rfam family "5.8S ribosomal RNA". The record is from RNAcentral. Lineage: Eukaryota; Fungi; Basidiomycota; Agaricomycetes; Polyporales; Cerrenaceae.
GGGUAUGGGGUACUGCGGAGGAUCAUUAAUGAUUGGGAGACUGUGCUGGCACUAUCUGGGUAUGUGCACGUCUCUAUAAACUCCAAUUUCUACACCCCUGUGCACCUUACAUAGGUAUAGGUUUUUUUGUGGGCUGUCUCUGGAUGGCUUGCUGGCCUUGCCUAUGCAUUUCACAAACGCUUCAGUUUUAGAAUGUCAUAUCGCAUACAAUGCAAUAUAUACAACUUUCAGCAACGGAUCUCUUGGCUCUCGCAUCGAUGAAGAACGCAGCGAAAUGCGAUAAGUAAUGUGAAUUGCAGAAUUCAGUGAAUCAUCGAAUGUUUGAACGCAUCUGGCGCCCCCUGGCAUUCCGGGGGGCACGCCCGUUUGAGUGUCAUGGUAUUCUCAAUACUCCAAAUCUUUGCGGAUGAGGAUGUAUUGGAUUUGGAGGCCUUAUGCCGGCUUUAUAUUAUUUUGUCGGCUCCUCUUAAAUGCAUUAGCAGAGAUGGUUACUGCUACUCUCCAGCGUGAUAAUUGUCUACGCUGCAGCAGUGCGGUAUAAUUGAAGUCUCUGCUUCUAAUUGUCUUUGGACAAAUCUAUUGACUAUUCGACCUCAAAUCGGGCGGGACUACCCGCUGAACUUAAGCAUAUCUAAAACCGGAAAGACCCCA